GACAGAAGGUUCGAUAUUCAUUCGAUCGAUGAAUGAAAAGGCACAAUGGCAAAAUCGGACGGGCUCCUUUUCAAAUCCACGUCUCAGAUGUCCCCCCCGCCACCCUUCCACAGUCUGCAGUCGCUCAGCGGCUGGUGUGGCAGGCGGAGUGGAAGGAGAGAAAGAGCGAGAGCGAGAGAGAGAGGAGAGCAAGGGUUACAUCAAGGCUGCUCCCUGGACCGUGCAAACAAGUCUAGACCAGUGACCUGUUCAAUGGCUCCUUUUGAGGAGUGGGGCAAGUUCGGUCAGAGCGAGGAGAAAGCCAGGCGUGCCCCUCUUUUCAGUGCCGGAGCAGCUCACAGCCCGCGACUGCCAGGAGAGAGGAAGAGAGUGAGAAAUGACCGUGGGUGACUCCUUACCCUGAAAGGCACACAAUCAACAGGGUGAAGAAGCUGGAUAUGGAGGUCCUGGGCUGGCGUGGUU
Long non-coding RNA from Coregonus clupeaformis (lake whitefish), 462 nucleotides. RefSeq lists it as uncharacterized. The transcript is spliced from 3 exons. Lineage: Eukaryota; Metazoa; Chordata; Actinopteri; Salmoniformes; Salmonidae. The record is from RefSeq and is a predicted model, not a curated record.